AACGAACGCUGGCGGCAUGCCUAACACAUGCAAGUCGAACGAGAUCUUCGGAUCUUGUGGCGCACGUGUGCGUAACGCGUGGGAAUCUGCCCCUUUCUUCGGAAUAACAGUUAGAAAUUACUGCUAAUACCGGAUGAUGUCUUCGGACCAAAGAUUUAUCGGCAAGGGAUGAGCCCGCGUAGGAUUAGGUAGUUGGUGGGGUAAUGGCCUACCAAGCCGACGAUCCUUAGCUGGUAUGAGAGGAUGAUCAGCCACACUGGGACUGAGACACGGCCCAGACUGCUACGGGAGGCAGCAGAGGGGAAUAUUGGAAAAUGGGCGAAAGCCUGAUCAAGCAAUGCCGGGUGAGUGAUGAAGGGCGUAGGGUUGUAAAGCUCUUUUACCAGGGAAGAUAAUGACAGUACCUGGAGAAUAAGCUCCGGCUAACUCCGUG
Molecule: ribosomal RNA, 433 nt
Filed under: uncultured bacterium
Lineage: Bacteria
Description: partial 16S ribosomal RNA
Rfam family: Bacterial small subunit ribosomal RNA
Source: RNAcentral